AGUGAACGCUGGCGGUAGGCCUAACACAUGCCAGUCGAACGGCAGCACAGUAAGAGCUUGCUCUUACGGGUGGCGAGUGGCGGACGGGUGAGGAAUACAUCGGAAUCUUCUUUUUCGUGGGGGAUAACGUAGGGAAACUUACGCUAAUACCGCAUACGACCUACGGGUGAAAGCAGGGGAUCUUCGGACCUUGCGCGAUUGAAUGAGCCGAUGUCGGAUUAGCUAGUUGGCGGGGUAAAGGCCCACCAAGGCGACGAUCCGUAGCUGGUCUGAGAGGAUGAUCAGCCACACUGGAACUGAGACACGGUCCAGACUCCUACGGGAGGCAGCAGUGGGGAAUAUUGGGCAAUGGGCGCAAGCCUGAUCCAGCCAUACCGCGUGGGUGAAGAAGGCCUUCGGGUUGUAAAGCCCUUUUGUUGGGAAAGAAAAGCAGCAGGUUAAUACCCCGCUGUUCUGACGGUACCCAAAGAAUAAGCACCGGCUAACUUCGUG
This 492-nucleotide ribosomal RNA is filed under the name uncultured bacterium. RNAcentral's name for it is "partial 16S ribosomal RNA". It matches the Rfam family "Bacterial small subunit ribosomal RNA", at positions 29 to 507 of the family's 1533-position model. The record is from RNAcentral.